UUUUUGGUAUAAGUAUAUCCCAUGCAGCAUUUGGGACAUACUUAUACUAAAA
Molecule: non-coding RNA, 52 nt
Organism: Papio anubis (olive baboon)
Lineage: Eukaryota; Metazoa; Chordata; Mammalia; Primates; Cercopithecidae
Source: Rfam